GUGGAUGGCUGGACGAUCGCAUGUCUUCGGGCGUGAGGAAAGUCCGGACUCUAAAGGACAACAGCGGCGGGUAACGCCCGCCCGGGGCAACCCGAGGGAAAGCGCCACAGAGAACAGACUGCCCGCGUUCGUGUGGGUAACGGUGAAACGGUGGAGUAAGAGCCCACCGCAGUGGUGGUAACAUCACUGGCAUGGCAAGCCCCGCUGGGAGCAAGACCAAAUAGGGAUCGCGCGGACGUAAGUCCAAGGGUGUUCUUACCUUAGCAGAUUCGGGUUGGUUGCAAGAGCCUGUUGGCAACAGCAGGUCCAGAUGAAUGGUCGUCAAUAGGGGUUAAUCCCUUGAACAAAAUCCGGCUUACAGGUCAUCCACGCAU
RNAcentral lists this RNase P RNA (374 nucleotides) under Paracoccaceae bacterium. RNAcentral describes it as "Rhodobacteraceae bacterium RNase P RNA component class A". It matches the Rfam family "Bacterial RNase P class A". Rfam says of the family: Ribonuclease P (RNase P) is a ubiquitous endoribonuclease, found in archaea, bacteria and eukarya as well as chloroplasts and mitochondria. Its best characterised activity is the generation of mature 5'-ends of tRNAs by cleaving the 5'-leader elements of precursor-tRNAs. Lineage: Bacteria; Pseudomonadati; Pseudomonadota; Alphaproteobacteria; Rhodobacterales; Paracoccaceae. The record is from RNAcentral.